GGGGAAUUUUGGACAAUGGGCGCAAGCGUGAUCCAGCAAUGCCGCGUGAGCGAAGAAGGCCUUCGCGUUGUAAAGCUCUUUUGUCAGGGAAGAAACGGUGAGGGCUAAUAUCCNUUGCUAAUGACGGUACCUGAAGAAUAAGCACCGGCUAACUACGUGCCAGCAGCCGCGGUAAUACGUAGGGUGCAAGCGUUAAUCGGAAUUACUGGGCGUAAAGCGUGCGCAGGCGGUUUUGUAAGUCUGUCGUGAAAUCCCCGGGCUCAACCUGGGAAUUGCGAUGGAGACUGCAAGGCUAGAAUCUGGCAGAGGGGGGUAGAAUUCCACGUGUAGCAGUGAAAUGCGUAGAGAUGUGGAGGAACACCGAUGGCGAAGGCAGCCCCCUGGGUCAAGAUUGACGCUCAUGCACGAAAGCGUGGGGAGCAAACAGGAUUAGAUACCCUGGUAGUCCACGCCCUAAACGAUGUCUACUAGUGUCGGGUUUUAAUCAACUCGGUAACGCAGCUAACGCGU
Molecule: ribosomal RNA, 510 nt
Filed under: uncultured beta proteobacterium
Lineage: Bacteria; Pseudomonadati; Pseudomonadota; Betaproteobacteria
Description: bacterial SSU rRNA
Rfam family: Bacterial small subunit ribosomal RNA
Source: RNAcentral